RNAcentral lists this long non-coding RNA (6025 nucleotides) under Lactuca sativa (garden lettuce). Its description in RNAcentral is "long non-coding RNA (LSAT_LNC007408)". Lineage: Eukaryota; Viridiplantae; Streptophyta; Magnoliopsida; Asterales; Asteraceae. The record is from RNAcentral.
AAUGAAGACUAUCCAUUUACACUCGAGCCGAGGUGCAUUAUUAAAGACAUUACAAUGUUCUAUAUUAUCAAAUGACUGAUGUCCUUUACACUCGAGCCUAGGUGUAUUAUUAAUGACAUACCGAAGUUUUAUGUGUUCUUUAUGGUGUCUGACUUUUAUACUCGUGCCUAUGGUAUUUUAUUAUAGACUUUACAAUGUUUUAUGUUUUCUAUGUAUAUAAGUAUGAACAAUCAAAUGUGAAGUAUACAAUAUGACAAUAUAUAAUAAGAAUUGAAAAUCGGUUUUUAAACAAAUAACUCUGCAGUUUCAAAUAGUUUAUUAAAAGGGUUUUCAAUCCUUAAAAAUGUACAAGUAUGAAACCAUUUACCUAAAAUCAUAAGUUUAAGUAAAAGAUAUUCUUGUACUCUUGGUUGUAUUCCCCCCCUGAAAACAUUUAAAAAAACCAUUGAAAAAGGGUAGGGGUAUGAACUCACCGGACGCGAAAAGUGUCGAAUGGCAUGCUAAACGUCGAACCAAGGCUUGAAUACGAGCGUGGUUCCUAUCUAAUAUUAAAUAAUACACAAUACAUAUCUAAUUAGAUUUAAAUAACUAAUUAGAUACACUUGUACAUUCUAAGACGCGAAAACACUCCAAAAUGAGUGAUUGAAGUGACCCGGGUGGUGUUUCAGGACAUGAAUGGCUAGGAUAUAGAUUUUACUCUUCAAGGGUAAAUUCUAGGGAGUGUUCACGGCCUAAACACCACAUCCCCAUGAGUUUAUGGUCAUAAACUCAUGGUGGGUGUUUUUAUGAGCUAAAUGGCCUUAAAUCAAAUAAUUGGUGUUGCUAGGUUUGGCUUUUGGACAUUUGAAAGGGACAAAAUCAUUAUAUGAAUUAAUAGAAGAGUUUAGGGAAGUAAACUAAGAGUUUACGGCCAUAAACUCUCACCCACAUCCAACUUAAUUAUUUUGAAGGCCAAGGAUUAAUCACAAGUGAUUCAACUAAUUUUUACAAGGCUUAGGGUGAGUUUAAGGCUUCAAAUGGCAUCCAUCUAGGAGUUUACGGCCCUGGAGCAUAUGCUUUGGCCGUAAACUCUCAAUUAGAGUGUUUAUCAUGAGUUUAAGGCCUCUAAAUGAUUUUUGGUUGGUUCUAGGAUUUAUUCCAAGGCUUUUGGUUGAGUUAUUUGGCUUUCUAACAUGUUGGAAAUGAGUUUACACUCAUGUUUGAGGGGUUUAUGGCCCAAGCACAUGCCUUGGCCGUAAACUCAUGCAAAUCCCUCAAAAUCAUUGUCUAAGGUGUGCUAAGUCCAUUUCAUGAAGUCAUAUAGCCAUAUCUAAAGUCUAGUUGUGGUUUGGAAGGGUUUUAAGGCUCAAAAACCCCAUUUACAUGUGUUCACGACCUAAGAUUGAUCCAGGGCCGUAAACACAUAUUUAUGGUCUUAUCCCAUGAUUUAAACACGAAAAUGAAUCCUAAGGAUGUUAUACUAGGAGCUAGGAUGCUUACCUUGGUGUUCUAAGGCUUGAAAUGGUUGAUUUUGGCUUAACAAUAUGGAUUUGAGGAGAGAGGUUAGAGAGAGAGUGAAAAAGCUUCAAAUGAGGCUUAAUCCACUUUAAAUAUGGUUUGAAUUAGAUACACAGUGGAAUUUUACCCGAUACCGAUGUUAACUGAUGCUUUGGGUCGCACCCGAUUAAGUUGUCGUUACCCGAUAUGGUCGAAACUAUAAUUUUUCAAAUUACUAGCUCGUGACGUUUUCGCAUGUUUCCAACAUGUUUGGAUACUUACCAAGUCAAAAUGAAGGUUUUGACUUAAUUGACCUAGUUCAAGACGAAAUCGGAACAAUUCGCUUAAGACGAGUUUUGACGGAACGGUUACGGCGAGGAAGCAAAGUUUCGGGUUGUUACAUUAUCCCCCCGUUAGAGGGAAUUUAGUCCUGAAAUUCAAGAAUUGAGAUAGAAAAUUAUGGACAAAGUGUGUGGAUGUGUCUGCUGUAUCAAGUCUUCGCGCUCCCAUGCGAAUUCAGGUUCUCGCUUGGAACCUUCACUAACGGGACGUGGCUCGGUUUCAUACGCUUGAUUACUUGGUCUAUGAUCUUAGUUUUGCUCGUCAAGAGAGUUUGGGUAUAUCAAGGUUCUUGGUCACACUAGAAUGGAUUUCUGUGGUUUUAUCAUACAUGUAUUCAUUAAGUAUAGAGGUUCAAGGUACAGGAUGAACGCUGCUAAUUACUGAAGGUAUUUUGGAGCUGAAGGCUAAGGAAUCAAUCCGAAUCAGGAUCUCAAAGGGUCUAAUGUACCACAGACUAAGUUUUCCAUGCCUUAUCAAUUUUACUAUGGGUGUCUUUGGUGCCGAACAAUUCUCUAUUGCUUCGAUCUUAGGAGGAUCUACGCGUACUUCUUCAUCGUCUACUACAUGAUCGGAAAGAAAAUGGUUUGAUCGAAGGUUAUCAAUGCGAACUCUCAGUGAUCAUAUCUAAUCCUAAAUGUUGCCUUUGAAACAUGAACUCGUAGCUGGUGGUGUCUCGACCUGAGGCAUAUCUUCGAGGAGUAGUUGGCUCUCUGAAGUUAUCGAAGAAAUCAUCUAUUCAGAAAAGAGAAUAUCGGUUUUGACAGUCAACUCAUUAAGCCGAUUGGAUAACUCAUGUAUCUCUGCUGGAGCAAAGCGAUACGGAGGUUUGGCUACGGGGAUAGAUCCAGGGAUUAAGUUGAUAUGAAACUCAACUUGGCGUUCGGAAGGAAUUCUCGGGAUCUAUUCGGAAAGAUAUCAGGAACAUUAUAGUCCUCGGGGCGUUCUUGGGAUCUUUAACUCCUUGUUUCUCGCUGAUCACAUGGACUAGGAAUACUUGACACUUCUUUCGCUGGAACUUUCGAGUUUUGACAUAGUGAACGAAGUGAAGAUUUGGGCUAAACUCGCCACCAUGAAUUAUGAGGGUCUGAUCAGAAGGAAGAUUGAGACGAAUAGCUUUCUAUAAUGAGGUGUAUCAACACAGUCAGGGCUCAAUCGAUACAUAAUAAGGAUAACAUCAAAGCUCUUACUGAAACUUACAUCGGGUUAAUGAGAAAUGAAUGAUUACUCAAGGUAAGGACACAACAUAGAGAUAAGUCGUUUAUACACUCAUUCUCACUUACAACUAUCGUAACGGUAAAUGUUUUUGGUUGUCAAACGAGGACAAUGCUUAACAAGAUAAUUGAAUGAAUGACUAAUUGAACUUUCUUGACACUAGAUUCAAAGAGGAUGCGAGCAUAAAGAUAGUCGGAAAGAAAUAUGCCCGCGACGUUAGUGGGAUUGGCGAAUGCCUCCUCCUGUUUCAAAGCUAAAACCAUUCCGGCGUUGUUGACAUUGUUGGGGGUUGUUGCUUUUGGGCAGUUUCGCUUGAAAUUCCCAAUUUCUCCACAACUAUAGCAGACCUGUUCAAUACUUGAAUCAAAAGUUUGUUCGAGGUCUUGGACUAGUGUUUUGCAACUUCUAGCAAGAUGACCUUUCUUGCCACAACGUUUGCAAAUCAUCUUGCGACACGGGCCAGGAAUAUAAUGAUGAUAACUACACCUGCUGCACCAAGGGAGAUUACCAGCAUACCCAGUGACAGGUGCUUGAGCCUUAGACGAAANUUAGACGAAUAACAGGAGUAGUGGUAGCUUGAACUAUAGGAACAACGGCAGGAUUGGUAGCAACUUGUACUGCCACAUUUUUCAGCUUCUUGGAGGGUCCUUGGGAACUAUGACCCUUUCGCUUUUUCCAGAUAACCUUAUUACUCUCAUCAAACUCAUUCUGAUGCUCCUGAACAUUUUCACGGUUUGGGGGUAGGGGUUAUAUCCUGGACUAAUGGACUUGUUAGGGUUCAAGAUCGUCAUUGUAGCCGUCACUGCAGCAGAAACAGCCAGCUGGAAUAUCACAGGGUCGAAGUGAGAUGAGGGUGGGGACGAAGGGUCGUUGUUCUUCGAGCUGGGUUCUUUCCUUGAAGACAUCUCGAUCUAAAAGUUUAGGAAAAGAGGAUACUAAGUCCUCUAAAUUAAAUCAGGAGAUAUGAAACAAAGGAUAUCUCUUUAUGACAGACAUAUAAUUCUAUUAGGCGAAUAUGCAGGAAUGAAUUAUCAAAGCAGACAUUUAUCGCUAACAGAAUAAUCGAGGGGAAAUGCUUGAAUCAGGAAUUUCUACUACAAGGUUGGAUCCAGAAAUACUCCUAUAUUAUUUCACGAUUCACCGCAACGACGAUUCGUUGUUUGUGGUAUUUGGGUAAGUUUUAGGUAUGCCGCAUUCCACAGUCACUCCCAAGCACAUGUUGGCCGUGUCUCGAAUGAAUAUAGUUGAUCAGGCUAUAUUGAUCCUAGACACGACUACAUAACUGCCUAGGUUUAACUGUAGCGUACAACACCCAUUUACUUAUGUUUUGUUCUAUUUAUAGAUACGAUUUUCGACAGCAAGGAUACUUGUAUACUUUUUGAAAAUACUUAUAUUUGAGAUAUACUUUUAGUUCAGAGCACUUAGUCCCCUUAAUGUUUAUAGUAUUAUACCAUGUAAAGUUUGGUAUACUUAGUUCACUAUAAAAAAGGGCUCUGAUACCAAUCUGUCACACCCCGAAACCGAAGGCGGAAACGUCUCGGGGCGGAGGUGACUUCAUGUGAAUCAUAACCAAUAUACAUAGUAAGCGAAGUAAAACACAAAACAUUACAUUACAUAGAUUUCAUUACAUCAGUUGAAAAGUAAAGUAGUACAAGUUUCAUAGAUACAUAGUUUAAACAAAAGAAAGACGAAUCUUCUACGCAUUCCGUCUUCACCAAAAGAGAUCGUCGGGUACCUGUCUAAAGUGGACCUGAGAAUACAAGCGGUUUGAAAAUCAGCAUAAAGCUGGUGAGUUCAUAAGCAGUUUAUUUUAUGAAAAGAACGAGUUCCUUUAGUUUCCUGAAAAAGUGGUUAACCAAGAAAAUCCCAUAUUUUCUUAAGUGUUAGACACCAAAUCCAAAUUGUAAUGUAAAAGAUGUACAAAUGAAAACAUGAUUGUUCUUAUGAUUUGAAAAGUUUAGUUAUUUAACUUAUUACACUUAUCUGGUUACAAACUACUGUUACUUAGUAAAAUCCUAUACUUUCCUAUAUGUGUAAGUGUGAACUAUUGCUGAUUCUGUGUGAGCUAACUGAUAUUGAUUCCGAUUAUGUUCAUUAUUAUUCAUAGGAAAACCCCAUGUUUUCCUGAAUGUGUGUGUAUACUUUUACCAAUUCUAUGUACGCUAACUGUUACCGAUUCUGACUAUGUAGAUUGUUAUCCAUAGGAAAACCCCAUGUUUUCCUGAAUGUGUGUGUGUGCAUCAUUACCGAAUUUGGUUAUGUUCAGUGUUCUCCCCAGGAAAACCCCAUGUUUUCGUGAAUGUGUGUAUGUGUGUGCCUGUCAUCCUUGAACGUACAUUAGCUUUACUACGUACAUAAAGCUAGAAAAUGAGUCUAAAGCGUUAAUAAUCUAGAUUGCGAGUCCUUAACCAUACUCAGACUAGAUAUGACUCGAGUCGUGGCCAGUAUCCUUUUUAUGACUUUCGUCACCCUUGAACCUUUCGGUUCGGCUGUAGCUAGCAGCCAGGUGCGGGAUUGUCAGUCCCGUAUAGAUCUAUACACUCAAGUCACGCUCUCCUACGUUCGGAGAUUCUGGUUACAGGGGUAGUCCUCCACUCUCGUGCCACGGGACGUGUUACAAAGGACGUGUCUCCAAUCUUUAAGAUUACUCAUUACUUCUCGCCUAGGGGAAGUAGUAUCUAUGACUAACUAGGUUCUAACGUACCUGUCCUUUACACUCGGGCCUAGGUGUUAUUAUUAAGGACAUUACAAAUGUUCUAUGUUUUCUAAUGACGACUAUCCAUUUACACUCGAGCCGAGGUGCAUUAUUAAAGACAUUACAAUGUUCUAUAUUAUCAAAUGACUGUUGUCCUUUACACUCGAGCCUAGGUGUAUUAUUAAUGACAUACCGAAGUUUUAUGUGUUCUUGAUGGUGUCUGACUUUUAUACUCGUGCCUAUGGCAUUUUAUUACAGACUUUACAAUGUUUUAUGUUUUCUAUCUAUAUAAGUAUGAAC